AAAGGACCUGGGGCCAUCGAGGGUGGAUGGCCAUAUCCGGGGGCCUCGAUGCCAGUGCCGACUGUUCCCUGCAGGCUUCCACAUCCACGCCAACAUUGCAAGACUGUGUCACGGACCGAAACAGCUACAGUGAUGACACACCUGAGGUGAACACAACUCUGGCAGCAUCCUGGCCCCUGACAGGGCAAGUGCAUGUGGAACCUGGAAACUUCACAGCUGAGCCUACGAUGGUGCUCAUGGCGCUCAGCAGGGGUUCUGGAUCCAGUGGUAGGAAGUCAUUUGAAGCAGCUUGUGAACGUUCACAGAAGCAGCUCAGGAUCCUGCUGCUUCCGAGAGGGGAGCUGGACAGGUUACUGCCUCUGACGUGGGGGAGGAGAGAAAACGAAACCCAGAGCCCUGAGCAGCUGUCGUCCAAGAUGGUGGCCCCAGAGUCACCUGGCCAGGCUCCCCACGUUUUCCUGAGCUGGGCUCGCAUGGCUGGUAAGAGCCCAGGACCCCCCCAGACCCUGGGGCCACGGCCCGAAGCGUGGGUUGAAGGGGCCUUGGCAGAAGCCUGGCCUGCAAACAGCAGCAUCCAAGCUCCUCCAUCAAAGCGGUCCCCUGCCGGAGUGGACGUGGCUGCUUCCUCAAACCAGGAAAACCUGUCUAAAAUUCCGCGUCACUGCGGGCCUUCCUCUCCCGCCCCCCAUUGUCCAGCAGGCAUCAGGCCCCAGGCCGGAGGCCACGUGCCAGGCUGGCAGGAUUUGUCCUCUGUGAAGCUCGACACCCCCUCAGGCCCUGUGCUGCCCGCCCAGAUCUCCCCUGCCUCAGGAUGCCCUCCGCACCCUCCGAAUUCCCAGCCGCUGCUCUGGGGCCCGCACGGAGGACUUGGGCCCAGCACCUCGAAGCUCCAAAGAGAACACAGAAUUCACCCCUAGGUUUUGUCAGAUUGCUUCCGAGGUUGCCCUCUUCGCCGUGGCUGCCGAGUGCAGAGCUGGGCAUUCGAGUGGGCAGAGUGGUGCUCGGCUUCCCUGCAUCUCCUGGGCCAUGUGUGCUGACCCGUGCCCACUGCAUUGCUCCUGUGUGCCCUGCACAUACGACUGUGUCUUUCCCGUGUAUUCAGUGCUGCUUCAUGUCUUCCAGUUCUGCUUUGUGGUUUGUGACUGACCAGUGCAUCCAGUUCCUGCUGUGGCAGCUGCAAUGUGCUCUGUCCUGCAGGAAGCCCUCGGGGUGGGGCCUGGGGGCUGCGGGAAGCUGAGCAACGAGGUACGGGAAUGGGCAGCUUUGUUUUAUUUAUUUAUUUUUUUUGCUAUUUAAUUAUCUCACCUUAUUACACUUUAAUUAAAAUAUCGAUCUUUACACAAUACACUUGAACUGUGGAAUAAAGCAGGACCAGAUGUGGAUCCUGGAGCUGACAGUCACUUGCUUCCCACCCAGCCACGUCCUAAUUCUCUUUUUGCGAAAGCAACUACUUGUCCCUGUUAAAGCUGUUCCUUCUGGUCAUGACUGUUUUAUCACAAAAUCAUAUGCCUCUAUUUUUGUUGCUUGACUUAUCCAUUUUUUAGACAUUAUCUGUUUAUUUCCUGCUGGACAGGCAUUUUAGCUCCAUCUCCCCUACUUCCACAUCCACAUUAUAAUUAUAUCUCUAUUUUUAGUUAAGUCCAUAGUUAGUAUUUACAUUUUCAUGACUAAGUUAAUAUUGCUUAUUACUGAGCCAAACAAAGCAUGAUGGUUAUUUUUCAUUCCAUCAACAGCUUCCCCCUGCCCUUUGCCCAGCCUGAUAGUUUUGACUUUUUUUUUCUCACAAUACAUGCUCAUGUGUGUUCAUAGUCUCCUGGCUAUCUUCUAUCUGCCUUCACUCCCAGUGCUCCAUUAUGCCAGGGAGUCUCCUCAGGAUGAGCCCCAUAUGCAGCCUCCAUUGUGCCACUCUCUCAGAUCCAGUGUGCAGCUCUCCUCCUGGGACUUCCCUCCACAACUUUUCUCAGUUGAAUCCACUAUUUGUUGGAUCCCAGGUCUUCCUCUUUAUUUUCUCCUUCAUUUUGCUGGAGCACAUCCUCAAGUAACUUUCUAAAAGAAGUUUAAACAGGUAAAUGUUUUGGAAGGUUGAAUGCCAGAAAAUAGCUUUAUUCUACCUUCAUUCUUGACUCAUAAUGUUGCUGGAACCAAUUUCUAAGUUUGAAAUCAUUUUUCAGGAGCUAGGAAUUGAACUCAAAAUUCCAAAAUUAGGGUUCUUUUAUUUGACAUGCCCUCUGACUAGGAAGCAAGCACAACUGCUCCACCAUUACUGGCAAGUUACUGAAAGCAAUCCUUUGACAGCAGCUGCAGACCCACAGCCAUACAGAAUUUUCCUUUUUAAACAAGUCGCUCACCAUUAGGAUGCUCUGAUUUCUCCAUUUGUAAAAUGAAGAUUCUCUCUCAACUUUUGGUUUUAGCUUUUGGUCUGGCAUAUUUGGUAAGCUACAAGUGAUUUUUGGCUGAAAAUCAGUCAUGUGUGGCAGGUCGUUUCACCAGGCGCCCUGCACCCAGAGAUCUAGGGCCCUCAAUCCUUCUUCAGUUGCUGUCAGUGCAAGGGCAAUCUCACCCAACCCUCCACAGGGAAAGGCAACUGCCACGUGCCUCUGAGAGCAGGGAGGCAGCAAGUGCUGACUCGGGGCUCACAGGGGUCCCGCCCGUAAAGCACACCACAGACCAGGGCUCACCCCACAAACAUUCUCUCACUCAGUCCUGGAGGCAGAAAGGCCAACAUCAGGGUGCUAGCAUGGCUGGCGUCUGGUGAGACUCUCUUCCUGGUUUGCAGACCGUUGCCAUAGUAUUGUGAUAAUAACAACAUAUAAAUUUGGUCUUCAUCCCAGAUUCCCAACACCAGAGCUUCUAAGAGCCCUGGAACCUCUUGAGUGGUGAGUGUGUCUUUCGUGUGCUGACGAGAGGACAGAGCUGGUGACCCUUGGGCAGCUUCAGGAAGGGACUGCUCCCCAGAAAGACCAAGGCAAGGCUUACAGGUGAGAACUUUCAGAUCCACCCCAACCUCCAGGAAGUGAGAGGGGAGAGAGGACAGGAGCUGGAGAUGGAACUGAUUACCGAUGGCCAAGAAUUUAACCAAUUAUUCUGUUAAUGAAAAACCAAACUCUGUAAAAUAUUUUAAAGAGGUUUAUUCUGACCCCUAAUACAGGUGACCACAGUUCAGGGAAAAUACAAACCCAAGAAGCCUAGAGUGAGUGUUCCUGAGGUGGCUGGAUUACAGUCUGGUUUUAUGCACUUUGGGGGACAGGCGUUACAGGCGGACGAGGGAUAUAUCGGC
Molecule: non-coding RNA, 3277 nt
Organism: Chlorocebus sabaeus (green monkey)
Lineage: Eukaryota; Metazoa; Chordata; Mammalia; Primates; Cercopithecidae
Source: RefSeq, a predicted model, not a curated record